Megalobrama amblycephala (Wuchang bream) is the source of this 392-nucleotide non-coding RNA. Lineage: Eukaryota; Metazoa; Chordata; Actinopteri; Cypriniformes; Xenocyprididae. The record is from the annotation of a RefSeq genome assembly.
CAAAAAUGACUUUCAGCACCAUAUUGAUCUGGACGCUGGCAGUAUUAUGUCGAGAAUCUGUUGGUCAGGUGACAGUGACUCAAACUCCCUCAGAGCUGCUCUCUCAAACUGGACAAUCAGUCACUGUGACCUGUAAAACUAGCAGAGAUCCAGGCUGUUGCUGUAAUAGCAAACAAUGUCUCAGCUGGUACUUACAGAAACCUGGAGAAGCUCCUAAACUCCUGAUUUAUGGAAUAAGCACCCUCCAGUCAGGAACUCCAUCUAGAUUCAGUGGCAGUGGAUCUAACAGUGAUUUCACUCUGACCAUCAGUGGAGUCCAGACUGAAGAUGCUGGACAUUAUUACUGUCAGAGUUUCCAUGAAAUCAACAGUAAAUGGGUGUUCACACAGUGA